UACGAAGGGGGCGAGCGUUGUUCGGAUUUACUGGGCGUAAAGGGCGCGCAGGCGGCCGCUCAAGUCAGGCGUGAAAGCACCGGGCUUAACCUGGGAACUGCGUCUGGGACUGAGAGGCUAGAGUUCGGGAGAGGAGAGUGGAAUUCCCAGUGUAGAGGUGAAAUUCGUAGAUAUUGGGAAGAACGCCGGUGGCGAAGGCGGCUCUCUGGACCGAGACUGACGCUGAGGCGCGAAAGCGUGGGGAGCAAACAGG
RNAcentral lists this ribosomal RNA (253 nucleotides) under uncultured bacterium. Its description in RNAcentral is "partial 16S ribosomal RNA". It matches the Rfam family "Bacterial small subunit ribosomal RNA", at positions 524 to 776 of the family's 1533-position model. The record is from RNAcentral.